UCUUGAAUGUUUACAAUUUAAUGGAUAUCUAGGUUUUACUGUUUGGUAAUCAUCGAGAUAUGACGUAAAUUUCAUUUUUUAAUUAAUUGGCUUUUCAUACCAUACGUUCGUGUACCUUUUGACCCAUAAAAAUGAAUUCCAAAAAAGUUCAUCUUAGUUGAUAAAAUAUUGUAUUUAUGGGUCAUUACUUUCGUAAUUUUAAUUAACUCAUAAGCGAGUUUGUUGGUGGUAAAAUGUCUACUUCAGAGACUGGUGUGGGAUGUAUUAGCGAGGUUACCCUUGCUAUUAGUAAAGCAAGGACUUCUCAAACAGGAUCCAUAAGGGUACUCGACAGUCCUGAUUCUGAUGGAUCUGGCCAUUCUAAUUCGUUUUCCAUACAACGAUUUAAUUAUCCUAACGAGAAUACUAAUUCUAAUAUUCUUCCACCUCCCUUAACAAACGAUGAUUUAAGAAUACCUAUUGUUGGUUAUGAAGUUAUGGAAGAGAGAGCUAGAUUUACAGUAUACAAACUUCGUAUUGAAUUGAAGAAUGGUGAUUGUUGGUUUGUCUUCAGAAGAUACACUGAUUUUGUACGUUUAUUUGCUCAAUUAAGAAGACAAAAGCUUCCCAUUUCUCAUUUGUCUUUGCCGCAAAAAAAAUGGCUCGGUGACAAUUUUGCACCUAGUUUUUUAGAAGAAAGGAUACGUGGUUUGCAAGCAUUUGUCAACGGGAUAUUAAGUAAUCCAAUUCUUAUAGGUAGCUCUUGCGUUAGACAAUUUUUUUGUCUUGAUGAACCACCUGCUUUGUCAGACACUGCAGAAGAAUCUAGGGCUAUUUUUGAAGCGAUGGAAGAUACAAUUUAUCAUUUAAGACAACAACUUAGAGAACGAGAUAAUGCUCUAGCAGCAGAAUCUGCGCUUUGCAAUGAAUUACAAAAGAAUUUACAUCAGAUGUUGAGCGAAAGACAGAUUUGUUCUAAAUGUGGCUCGACUCAAUAAAACAUUUGAUUGUGAGAUACAUUAGAUGAAUUUUAUUAUAUAUUUAUUUGAAUAUUUUUAGAAAAAGAGAUUUCUACGUAAAAGAUACUAUUCAGUUUAAGUAUGUUCCAGGGUUU
Molecule: unclassified non-coding RNA, 1093 nt
Filed under: Polistes canadensis
Lineage: Eukaryota; Metazoa; Arthropoda; Insecta; Hymenoptera; Vespidae
Description: sorting nexin-16, transcript variant X3
Source: RNAcentral